Molecule: long non-coding RNA, 1859 nt
Organism: Parus major (Great Tit)
Lineage: Eukaryota; Metazoa; Chordata; Aves; Passeriformes; Paridae
Source: Ensembl
AUAACUCGAGCACAACGCAUAAAAUUUGAGCAAUGAAAAGAUGGCCAGAACGAGGACAGAGAGCUCAGAACUGUUCACAAAAUAACAAAGGAGGUGCCAGGAGAGAGGCGAAUCCUCUCAGGUGAGACGAGCCACAAAUGAUUCUGUUAACCGUGAAUGUCAAUGUCAACCUCCCGAAAGGAAAAGAAACCACUCGGACUCCAUCUCCUUCUGGAGAAAUCCCAGAAAAAUUCUACAUCUCAAGGGCUGCUUCCCGAAAAAUCUCCUCAGACCUGAUCUCCUUCCAGAAACUUCCUCAGCAGCUCAACAGCUAAAUUCUGAAUAUGGAAUUUAUCACAAACAAAUCACAGAGGAAAAAAAGCUGAGACUGCACGGCCUCAGGCCGAAACGAGUGUAUAAAAUUCGGCAUUUCAAUAAAAACUUUGGAAACUUGAGGGAAUCGAGGUUUGGAGACUGAGGCAGAGACCGGGUCAGGAUUCACCCAGCGCCGAUCCCGGGCUCGGCGUUGCCUUUAAUUGUAGCUGUCCCCAAAUUUAUUUUCGCAGGUUUAGCAAUAAAAAUUGUUAUUCAUGAAAUUGGAUUGAUUUAUUUAUAGCGCAGGGAAGGAAAAAAGGAAAAGCGGAACCAAUCCCCGCCGCACUGCGCAUACGCAGCUCCGGCUACCGUACAUGGCAGCCACGCGCAUGCGCAGUUACGCGCUCCGUACGGCAGCAUGGCGGCCCGCACAGGCGCGGCGCCUUUUGCCGUACAACAUGGUCGUCCUGCGCAUGCGCAGUUCUAUUCGCCGUACAUCAUGGCGGCCCUCACAUACGAAGUUUUAAUUGCCGUACAUCAUGGCGGCCAUGCGCAUGCGCAGUUCCCGCCAACCGCUGCGCUCCCUCUGCUCCGUGCAUGCGUAUUGUUCCGUGACGUCAUCACGCAGCGCCCCGCGCGUGCGCAGUGCCGGGCCAGGCCUGAGGAGGCGGCGAAGCCCCGGGACGGGCCCGGGACCAGCGGGGAAAACGGGAAAAAAACGGGAAAAAAGCGGGGAAAAAAGCGGGAAAAACGGGAUAAUCGGGAUAAUCUGAAUAAUCGGGAUAAUCGGGAUCAGCACAGCGCACUCCCCACCGCAGUUAUGGUGUUUUACUUCACCUCCAACGCCGCUCCCGCUGCCUACACCAUCUACAUGGGCAAGGACAAACGAGGACCUGAUCAAGUACGGCUGGCCCGAGGACGUCUGGUGCGUGCUGAGAUCCCGAGAUUCCCGGGAAAAGCAGGAAUUUGGGAAUGUGGGAUCCUCCCCCUCCCACCCCCUCCCCCCUCGGGCCCUUCCCUCCCCGGAGGAUUCCGGAAUUUGGGAGCAGCUUUGGGCUGGAGCUGGGAAUUCCCGAGGUCGGCUCUUCCCAAAUCCCGAAUCCCAUCCUGAAUUCCAAAUCCAAUCCCAAAUUCAGUCCCAAAUCCCAUUUCAAAUCCCAAAUCCCCAAUCCCAUCCCAAAUCCCGAAUCCAAUCCCAAAUCCCAAAUCCCAUCCUGAAUCCCAAAUCCAAUCCCAAAUUCAGUCCCAAAUCUCAUCCUUAAUCCCAAAUCCCAUUUCAAAUCCCAAAUCCCAUCCCAAAUCCCAAAUCCCAUCCCAAACCCCAAAUCCAAUCCCAAAUCCCAUCCCAAAUCCCAUUUCAAAUCCCAAAUCCCAUCCCCAAUCCCAUCCCAAAUCCCAAAUCCCAUCCUGAAUCCCAAAUCCAGUCCCAAAUCCCAAAUCCCAUCCCCGGGCCCUUCCCUUCCCCCACCUUCUUCUCAUUUUUCCCCCUUUUUUCCCCAUUUUCCCCACAUUUUUUCCAUUUUUUCCUCACUUUCCCCACUUUUCCCCACAUUUUCCCCAUUUUC